ACAGGAAGUAUACAAUUUGGCCAAGAAUUAUGAGCAAAUCAGUCCAGCCACACAUCUGGAUUACUUACAUUGGACUAACCCCACCUGAAAGUGUUCCGCGAAAAUACAGCAUUUUGCACGCGAAUAGCCAUUGCAUCAUUACAGGAGUGCUUCCAGAGCCAGGAGAAACAACCAGCUGCACUUACUGGGUUACAGAGCACGACGUUGAAAGUCGCAAUUCAGAUUGUGACUACAUUUUCUUGCAUUACUGCACGUCCCCGCAAUCUUUUUCGUCAAAUGAAUGUCAGUAGUGUUGGAGCUUAUCAAUAAAAACGCAUUUGUCUCA
Long non-coding RNA from Dermacentor silvarum, 325 nucleotides. RefSeq lists it as uncharacterized. The transcript is spliced from 3 exons. The record is from RefSeq and is a predicted model, not a curated record. Lineage: Eukaryota; Metazoa; Arthropoda; Arachnida; Ixodida; Ixodidae.